RNAcentral lists this signal recognition particle RNA (288 nucleotides) under Carlito syrichta (Philippine tarsier). Its description in RNAcentral is "Metazoan signal recognition particle RNA (ENSTSYG00000031307.1)". It matches the Rfam family "Metazoan signal recognition particle RNA". From Rfam's summary of the family: The signal recognition particle (SRP) is a universally conserved ribonucleoprotein. It is involved in the co-translational targeting of proteins to membranes. Lineage: Eukaryota; Metazoa; Chordata; Mammalia; Primates; Tarsiidae. The record is from RNAcentral.
GCAGGGUGUGCUGGAGCCUGCCUGUAGUCUUAGCCCUGGGAAAGGCUGAAGCAGGAGGAUUGCUUGAGCCCAGGAGUUCUGGGCUGUCCUGCACUAUGCGGAGAUGUGGAUACUAAGUAUAGCGUCAAUAUGGCAACCUCCCAACAUGGUGACCCAAUUGCCUAAGGAGGGGCUCAGCCCAGGUUAGAAACAAAACAAGUCAAAACUCCCAUGCUGAUUAGUAGUGGGAUCGAACCUGUGAAUAGCCACUGCACUCCAACCUGGGCAACCAAGCCAGAACCCACCUCC